Molecule: ribosomal RNA, 1611 nt
Filed under: Proteus mirabilis
Lineage: Bacteria; Pseudomonadati; Pseudomonadota; Gammaproteobacteria; Enterobacterales; Morganellaceae
Description: bacterial LSU rRNA
Rfam family: Bacterial large subunit ribosomal RNA
Source: RNAcentral
UUGGGUAGGGGAGCGUUCUGUAAGCCUGCGAAGGUGUACUGUGAGGUAUGCUGGAGGUAUCAGAAGUGCGAAUGCUGACAUAAGUAACGAUAAUGCGGGUGAAAAACCCGCACGCCGGAAGACCAAGGGUUCCUGUCCAACGUUAAUCGGGGCAGGGUGAGUCGACCCCUAAGGCGAGGCUGAAAAGCGUAGUCGAUGGGAAACGGGUUAAUAUUCCCGUACUGGUGGUAACUGCGAUGGGGGAACGGAGAAGGCUAGGUUGUCCGGGCGACGGUCGUCCCGGUUCAAGCAGGUAGGCAGAGUGAUUAGGCAAAUCCGGUCACUUAAUGCUGAGAUGUGAUGACGAACCACCAAGGUGGUGAAGCAAUUGAUGCCCCGCUUCCAGGAAAAGCCUCUAAGCUUCAGGUUACCAACAAUCGUACCCCAAACCGACACAGGUGGUCAGGUAGAGAAUACUCAGGCGCUUGAGAGAACUCGGGUGAAGGAACUAGGCAAAAUGGUGCCGUAACUUCGGGAGAAGGCACGCUGGCGGUAGGUAAAGUCCCUCGCGGACGGCGCUGAAGCCAGUCGAAGAUACCAGCUGGCUGCAACUGUUUAUUAAAAACACAGCACUGUGCAAACACGAAAGUGGACGUAUACGGUGUGACGCCUGCCCGGUGCUGGAAGGUUAAUUGAUGGGGUUAGCCGUAAGGCGAAGCUCCUGAUCGAAGCCCCAGUAAACGGCGGCCGUAACUAUAACGGUCCUAAGGUAGCGAAAUUCCUUGUCGGGUAAGUUCCGACCUGCACGAAUGGCGUAAUGAUGGCCAGGCUGUCUCCACCCGAGACUCAGUGAAAUUGAACUCGCUGUGAAGAUGCAGUGUACCCGCGGCAAGACGGAAAGACCCCGUGAACCUUUACUAUAGCUUGACACUGAACAUUGAGCCUUGAUGUGUAGGAUAGGUGGGAGGCUUUGAAGUGUGGACGCCAGUCUGCAUGGAGCCAACCUUGAAAUACCACCCUUUAACGUUUGAUGUUCUAACCUAGGCCCGUGAACCGGGUCGGGGACCGUGUCUGGUGGGUAGUUUGACUGGGGCGGUCUCCUCCUAAAGAGUAACGGAGGAGCACGAAGGUUGGCUAAGCAUGGUCGGACAUCAUGCGGUUAGUGCAAAGGCAUAAGCCAGCUUGACUGCGAGAGUGACGGCUCGAGCAGGUACGAAAGUAGGUCUUAGUGAUCCGGUGGUUCUGAAUGGAAGGGCCAUCGCUCAACGGAUAAAAGGUACUCCGGGGAUAACAGGCUGAUACCGCCCAAGAGUUCAUAUCGACGGCGGUGUUUGGCACCUCGAUGUCGGCUCAUCACAUCCUGGGGCUGAAGUAGGUCCCAAGGGUAUGGCUGUUCGCCAUUUAAAGUGGUACGCGAGCUGGGUUUAGAACGUCGUGAGACAGUUCGGUCCCUAUCUGCCGUGGGCGUUGGAAGAUUGAGAGGGGUUGCUCCUAGUACGAGAGGACCGGAGUGAACGCACCACUGGUGUUCGGGUUGUCAUGCCAAUGGCAUUGCCCGGUAGCUAAGUGCGGAAGAGAUAACCGCUGAAAGCAUCUAAGCGGGAAACUUGCCUCGAGAUGAGUCUUCCCUGU